This 465-nucleotide ribosomal RNA is filed under the name uncultured bacterium. RNAcentral's name for it is "partial 16S ribosomal RNA". It matches the Rfam family "Bacterial small subunit ribosomal RNA", at positions 28 to 507 of the family's 1533-position model. The record is from RNAcentral.
GACGAACGCUGGCGGCGUGCUUAACACAUGCAAGUCGAACGGAAAGGCCCUGCUUGCAGGGUACUCGAGUGGCGAACGGGUGAGUAACACGUGGGUGAUCUGCCCUGCACUUCGGGAUAAGCCUGGGAAACUGGGUCUAAUACCGGAUAGGAGCCAUUUUUAGUGUGAUGGUUGGAAAGUUUUUUCGGUGUAGGAUGAGCUCGCGGCCUAUCAGCUUGUUGGUGGGGUAAUGGCCUACCAAGGCGGCGACGGGUAGCCGGCCUGAGAGGGUGGACGGCCACAUUGGGACUGAGAGACGGCCCAGACUCCGAAGGGAGGCAGCAGUGGGGAAUAUUGCACAAUGGGCGCAAGCCUGAUGCAGCGACGCCGCGUGGGGGAUGACGGCCUUCGGGUUGUAAACUCCUUUCGCUAGGGACGAAGCUUUUUGUGACGGUACCUAGAUAAGAAGCACCGGCUAACUACGUG